Molecule: RNA transcript, 5856 nt
Organism: Trachymyrmex cornetzi
Lineage: Eukaryota; Metazoa; Arthropoda; Insecta; Hymenoptera; Formicidae
Gene: Usp7
Gene name: Ubiquitin-specific protease 7
Exons: 19
Source: RefSeq, a predicted model, not a curated record
GCAGGCAGCACUUUUACGUAAGGAAAAUGUAGGGAGUUAGCGGUCUGGUGUAAUAUAUAGAAAUCUGUGAGCGCAACCGUGCAGCCGAGUCGCCGCCAUUUUGUUUAUUUUCGCGAGACAGAGAGAGAUCCGUGAACGACGAUCGCGACGUACGGGAUCGGCCCGCGCGUAUUCGUUCGUGUUCGUCGUAAUAAACGUCCGGCUUCACGAGCCGGAAGGUGAGAAAUAAUUAAGUAGAGAAGAAAGGAUCUGUUGCGAGAACAACGGUACAGGUGGGUUCGCUCGCAAACGGAAGUCAUAGCGAAGUCGAUCGAGAAUUAGAGAGUGAGCUCGAUCGAGGAGAACCGUGGUGGCGACGACGACUAGCAGAUUCGAGACUCGAGUAGAGAAAGAAAGAGAGAGAGAGAGAGAGAGGAAGAGUGAAAGGGGGAAAAGGAGCGAAAGAGAGAGAGUGAGAGGGAGAGAAAGAACGCGAAGUGAAUAACGGCGCGCAACAUUGUCAACGUCGUCUGCGAUCGUCGUCCUCGUAUACAACCGUCGGCGUAAUCCGGUAGUCGGUGAUCGCGUCGUCGCUGAGCGCCGGUAAAGCGCACAGCGGAGCGGAAACAGUUUCACGGAUUGGGAUUUUGCGCGCGCGCACGGCAGAGAGGAAGGGGGAGAGGUCGGUGCGCGAGGCGCCGCGCCGGAACGAGAGAGGAGAGGCGAGACGGCCGUCGUCGACCGUCGUCGCCACCACCAACGAACCGACCAACCAUCGCCGCCGCCGUUCCGAGCUUCGAGUUUCGACUACGAACUAAUAUCAUCGGCAUCACCAAUACCACCGCUGUCUCGUCACUAGCUAGAGCACCACUAGCAGUACCAGCCAGCAGUGGCAGCAGUCGCAACUACCACCUACCACAAACAUCGUCAGAAAUCCGUUGCUACCGUCGCCACCACCGCGAAAAUCGCACUGAUCGCAGUUGAUCGCAGUCGUGGCGACACUCGGAGCAACUCGGAGGCGCGUACGAUUUACGAAGGGAAUAAGGAAUAUAGAAUACAUGUACAACGGGUAGUACGGGUACUCGAGUCGCGUAUUUGGCGAUUUAAUAAUACGAGGGUGGAAUAUAUGCUGUGGGCGUCCCCCGUACGAGUGGGGGCACUUGAUGGCCGCAGAAAUUGGGCGAACUGCGAGCAAACAUCUAUCGACGGAGUGCGGUAAAGCGACGUCGCUGUCGAGUAGCGACGUAGGCUUCGAUAGUAGCCGGGUAAUCGUAGGAACGGAACAGCGACAGCAGUUGCAACAAUCGCAUUAUCAGCAACAACGACAAUCGUCGCCACCGUCGCAACAGCAGCAACAACUUCAACAACAGGAUCGGACCGAUCGGACUUCAUUGGCUACGGUACAGAACCGAAAGGCGCUCGGUAAAACGACGACUCCUCCUCCUCCACCUCCUCCUUCUUCUCCUCCUCCUUACCGGAAUCGCGUACCGUUUGCCACCGCGCAGCUAACAGCGGAGAACAAUCAGCAGCAGCAGCCGCUGACCAACGCGAACAACGUAACCUCGACGGCGGAGGCCGUCACCGAGGUACCCGGCGCCAUCAAAACGACCAUCAACAUCGGCUUCGCGAUGAACCACGUAAACGAUCAGGAGAAUCUCAAGCAGCUCAGCCUCGCACCUAUUCAGGUUAACGAGGUCGAAGAGAUGGACACACAGGAGGAAACCCCAAAUGAUGGUGGGGGAGACGGAACUGACAACCGUCCUAUAAAUGGUGAACAAGAAUUAGCAUGUAUAGUUCAAGAUCAAGAAAUGGAGGAAGAUGAAGCCCGAUCAGAAGCUACUUUUCGAUAUACUGUUGAGAAUAUAUCUAAGAUGAAGGAUUCACAAUUGUCCCCUGCAUGUUAUGUCCGUAACUUACCAUGGAAAAUAAUGGUGAUGCCACGGUCAAGUCAAACACAGGAGAGACAACCACAGAGAUCUCUUGGAUUUUUUCUUCAAUGUAACGGAGAGAGCGAAUCUACAUCUUGGAGUUGUUACGCUGUUGCUGAACUGCGUCUUCUUUCUUGCAAGGAAGGACAAGAACCAUUUAGCAGAAAAAUUCAACACUUGUUCUACAGUAAAGAGAAUGAUUGGGGCUUUAGUCAUUUUAUGACAUGGCAAGAUGUUCUAGAUCCUGAUAGAGGUUUCAUAAAAGACGAUUCAAUUACUCUUGAGGUUCAUGUAGUGGCUGAUGCACCUCAUGGAGUUAGUUGGGACAGUAAAAAACACACGGGAUAUGUAGGCUUAAAAAAUCAGGGUGCUACAUGUUAUAUGAAUUCUUUAUUGCAAACUCUCUAUUUUACAAAUCAAUUGCGAAAGGCAGUAUACAAAAUGCCAACAGAGAGCGACGAUUCGAGUAAGAGUGUUGCAUUAGCCUUACAAAGGGUGUUUCAUGAGUUACAGUUUUCCGACAAGCCUGUCGGUACAAAGAAAUUAACCAAAAGUUUUGGAUGGGAAACACUGGAUUCUUUCAUGCAACAUGAUGUGCAGGAAUUUCUACGAGUGCUGUUAGAUAAGUUGGAGAGCAAAAUGAAGGGAACAUGCGUGGAAGGUACAGUGCCAAAAUUGUUUGAGGGAAAAAUGGUCUCAUUUAUCAAGUGUAAAAACAUAGACUACAAAUCCACAAGGGUUGAAACAUUUUAUGAUAUACAGUUAAAUAUAAAGGGCAAGAAAAACAUUUACGAAUCUUUUAGUGAUUAUGUGAGUACAGAAAGUCUUGAUGGCGAUAAUAAAUAUGAUGCAGGAGAACACGGAUUACAGGAAGCGGAAAAAGGCGUCAUCUUUUCAUCGUUUCCACCAGUUUUACAUCUACAUUUAAUGCGUUUUCAGUAUGACCCAGUUACGGAUUGUUCAGUCAAAUUUAACGACAGGUUUGAGUUUUACGAAAAAAUUAGUCUUGGAAAAUACCUGCAGAAUAAAGAAACAACAAGUGCGGAUUACACAUUACAUGCUGUUCUGGUUCAUAGUGGCGAUAAUCAUGGAGGACAUUAUGUUGUAUUUAUUAAUCCUGCUGGCGAUGGCAAAUGGUGUAAGUUCGACGACGACGUUGUCUCACGAUGUACAAAGCAGGAAGCUAUUGAACACAACUACGGUGGUCAAGAUGAGGACAUGUCUAUGGCUGUGAAACAUUGCACUAACGCUUAUAUGUUGGUUUACAUAAGAAAUUCAGAGCUGGAAAACGUUUUGCAAGAGGUCAAGGAAGAGGACAUACCUCAAGAGCUGGUGGAGAGGCUGCAAGAGGAGAAGAGGCUGGAACAAAUAAGAAGAAAGGAAAGAACGGAAGCAUACUUGUACAUGACCGUCAAUGUCCUUCUCGAGGAUAGCUUUGACGGUCACCAAGGAAAUGAUCUCUACGACCCAGAGCACGCUUUAUAUCGUGUAUUUCGCGUACGUAAGCAGGCCACUGUGCACGAGUUUCUCGAGCUACUGAGCGAUAGUCUGAAAUAUCCAAUAGAACAGAUUCGCAUUUGGCCCUUCAGUACACGUUCAAAUCAAACCUGUAGACCUACGCUAAUUGAGCCGGACGCUGAUCUUCAAAAGCCCAUCAUCGACUGCGCGGAAAAUCACAAUCCGUGGAACGUUUUUGUUGAACUUGUACCUCCAGACUCUGACAUGACAGCAUUACCGCCUUUUGACAAGGACACUGAUGUUUUACUCUUUUUUAAACUCUACGAUCCCAAAAAUAAGAAAAUUCAUUACUGCGGUCAUCAUUAUAUGCCUGUUGUAGCUAAAGUCCAGGAGCUCAUACCAAUUUUAAACGAACGCGCCGGAUUCCCACCAGACACAGAACUUGCUUUAUAUGAGGAAAUUAAACCAAAUUUAGUUGAGAAAAUAGAUAACUUAUCGGAGCCUUUGGAAAAGGUUCUGGAAGAAUUAAUGGACGGUGAUAUCAUUGUAUUUCAAAAGGAAGGAGACAAUGAAAUGUACGAACUUCCAACGUGUCGAGAAUAUUUUAAAGAUCUAUUCUAUAGGGUAGAAGUAACAUUUUGUGAUAAGUUGAUUCCAAACGAUCCAGGUUUUACAAUGGAACUUUCAUUGAGAAUGACAUAUGAUCAAAUGGCAAAGGCCGUAGCGCAACGAGUCGGCACAGAUCCGUAUCUUUUACAAUUCUUUAAAUGUCAAAAUUAUAAAGAUUCUCCCGGCCAUCCUUUAAAAUGUACAUUCGACGGCACGCUCAAAGAACUGGUUGCGUACUGCAAAACGAAAGUAAAGAAAUUAUUUUAUCAGCAGCUCAGUAUUAGGGUGAAUGAGCUAGAAAACAAGAAACAGUUCAAGUGCAUAUGGGUAGGGCCAUCGCUUAAAGAAGAGAAAGAGAUGAUUCUUUACCCAAAUAAAAAUGGUACCGUCGCUAAUUUACUUGAGGAGGCUAAGAAGCAAGUAGAAUUAUCGGAAAAUGGUUCAGGAAAAUUAAGGAUAUUAGAAAUGACUUGCAACAAACUAUCACCUGGCCCUGGGGAUGACACACCUUUAGAUCACUUAAACACAUCAGGCACCAAAUUGUAUAGGAUAGAAGAAAUACCGCUUGACGAAGUAAAUCUAGCGGAAGGCGAAAUGCUAGUUCCUGUUGCCCAUUUUCACAAAGAAGUUUUCUCAACGUUCGGUAUACCUUUCUUCUUCAAGAUCAAACAUGGUGAACCUUUUCCCAAGAUGAAGGAUAGGUUAUUGAAGAAAUUAGGGGUUCAGGAGAAAGAAUUUGAAAAGUUUAAGUUCGCGGUGGUGACAAUGGGCAAGCCGCAAUUCAUUAUUGACUCGCCGGACUCUUGUAUCAAAAUCGAGGAUUUCCUUCCCAGAUACACCAGUCAGAUCUAUCCACUUUUAAACGCAGGCACAGCGCCACACAGGCCUUGGCUUGGCCUGGAACACGUCAACAAAGCGCCGAAGCGCUCUCGUAUCAACUACCUCGAAAAGGCCAUUAAGAUUUACAAUUAAAUUUCCACCACACGAAGAAAAAAUUAAAUUAGGCAGCCACUCAUAAUACGUAAUUUAUACGAUUCUGUAUAGUAAGAAAGCGACGUCUGGUAUAUUGAAGGUUGGAAAAAUGCGUUCAUAUUCGUUUCUUCAGCCAGAUUAAAUAUGCAAUUUUAAUAAUGCAAGAAUGACAUCGAAAGACUACGAGAACAUUGCAAGAAAAUCAUUUCGAGGGGAUACGAAAGCAAAAUUCGCAGUACGAGAAUGGUAUACGGUAUACCAAUAUAAUACACAAACAUGAAUUAUCUGCUAAGGUUAAUGCGACAAUUCAGAAGUAGUGACCCGCUGUCUGAUCGAUUAAUAAGAAUAUAAUCGAAAGAAAUCUAUAACAAAUGGUUUUUGAAGAAGACUGGACGCAUAAGUUAAGCGAGAGUACGCAGAAUAUUUUGUAAAAAGAAAUUUUAAUGUGGCUGUACAGACUGAUUGGUAGCGUAUCUAAUUAAUCAUAAUCUCAAUAUCGUGUAUCUAAAGAAAGCUGUUCCAAAUAACGUUUUGUAGAUGUCAAAUGUUUUCUUUUUUUGCUACUUUUAUAUAUAGGGUGUCCGGUUUUGACAAAACGCUUAUGAGCACCUGGCCUACAGCGGACUAAACUGAGUCUUCUACCAUCUUGCAAUUUUCGCAAUAGUUACACGUUAAAUGCCCUACGGACCGGCAUUAGACUUUCCGUUUACGCCACGGCCCCUACGAACCGGCGCUCAACUUUUAUUUAGGCUACACCGCCGCGCCGGUCCCUACAUACCGAGGAUGAACAUUUCGUUUAGGCGACGUCAAUCCUUGAAGAAUUUAAAGUAAUAAGUUGAGAAUAUAAAACUUUAUCAAAAAUUAAUGUAAUUUAUUAAAAUAAUUUAAACAAAGAUGGGGUUUUCCUUUA